This 2909-nucleotide unclassified non-coding RNA is filed under the name Haliotis rufescens (red abalone). Its description in RNAcentral is "uncharacterized LOC124134166, transcript variant X2". The record is from RNAcentral. Lineage: Eukaryota; Metazoa; Mollusca; Gastropoda; Lepetellida; Haliotidae.
CAAUCACUGACAUGUGACAAGCAAAAAUGUCAACAUCUUGGACGGCAGUAAUGAAAAGGUCAUCAGUAUGAUUGAAUUUAAGAAAUGUUUUGAUUUGACAGGUUCAAUUACUGCUUUUAUAUACCGAAGACGACAAGAUCACGGAGUAUCAGAUGCUGCGUCCAUAUCUCACCGAGUUCUGACACAAGAAAAGGAUGGAUCCAUCAUAUAUUCCUGGAAUGACUUCAGUCCUCCAAACAAGAAGUCCGGAUCCCUCGUGACCCAUGUAGGGCUGUUUAACCCAGUUACUCAACAACACAAGGUUAUACAAGUCAACAACCAGAGGCUGAAGAUUGUGUCCUGCUCCAUCAACAAGUCAAAGACGCUGCUAGCUUUUACAACCUUCUCCAGGGGGGAUGCAUCUAAAGAUGGAAAGACAGGAAGAGAGAUGUACCGAGCAUACCUUGCAGAGUUACAGGCCUUGGAGACUCGUGUCUUCUCCCUCAACCUUGAGCGACGCAACUUCCUCAAAGUCCAGUUUCUGUAUGCUAGUCUUUCCGACCAAUCAGCUCCCAGGGAGUCCCAUCUUCUAGUCUUCCUUCAUAAAGAGUCAAUAGGUUUAUACAAGAUCCCUAUGGCUAGAGCUGGGGAUAAGAGAACUAUCAUGUCUGACCAACCACACACCAUGCAGUUAGUGCGGAAGUUUGUGUGGUGUCAGUGGGACGCCGUCAACCAGCGACUCCACUACAUCUACAACUACCGCCCACAAGGAGACAACAGCAACGUCGUGGCACAGAAACUUUCAACUCUUCAGUUCCAUCAGAACGCUGACUAUGACAGCAUGCUUGACAUUCCAUUGAAGUUCCCAUUUCCCUACAUCAGGUCAACUUUAAGAUCCCACUAUGCAGAUCGACCACUGAAUCCUGGAAUUCCUGAUGUAAGUUUAAAUGCCUGUGUGCUGAGUCAGGCUAACGGGACUUACUGCCUGUGCUAUCAACAUAUGGCCUUCACCUCCAGCAAGGGCAAGGCCUCACCAACAGCAGCGGCAGACAGCGACAAUGUCAUCAACUACUACAUCUGCAUGGUGCAUCACACAAAAGUUCUCCAUGGGUGUGUUCCAGGACUGCCGAGGAGUUUGAUUGGAUCACGUAGACUUUCCUUUCACUGGAUUGGUGACUACCUGAUGGUGCUUCUCCCAGGAUACUUUGUCCAUCUGCUCAAUGUCGGGAUCGAGUUUGAACCGUGCCACCACAUCCUCCUUCACAAUCAUGCCAGGGACCGGUUGAUGACCUCAAGCACAGCCAGCAUGAUGACCUCUGACCCAGAGAAUGAUCCUGCCCACGGGAGUGUGUCCGCCUCUGACAUGGAAGGGACUGACACGCGGCCAGACACCCGCACCUACACUGUCCGGUUCCAGCUGGUGGACACCAUGAUCCCGACAGACGAGCAGUGUGUGAGCCAGGCCUCCCUGCAAUCACGGACACUUGACAUGCCAGACACCAUGUCUGUGACCAGUCAUCAGUGUAGGAACAUCCACUCGCUGUCACCAUGCAGGACGUUCACCAGAGAAAUAGGGGGCAGUGUGUACGACUACCGUAAUGGCCAGGUGUGGAAGGUUGGCGUGUCACUGGAGGGGCUGGCGGAGAGCUUCAAGGCAGCUUACACCCCGACCCGACAAGCUCUGUUACACUACCUCAUCAUACGGACAAAAGACAUCUACACAAUCAAAAAGAUCUUCAGCGACAUCUGCCAGGACCUGACAAAGACAGAGCUGACACAGUCCAUUGCUGAAUACCUUGUUGCGUCCACCUACAGCAGCAUGAAGCGGCAGCUGGAAAAGGAAGUAUUGCGGUUCCUGCCAUUCACUGCCACAGACACAUUACGUGGCCAGUUUGAACGGAGCCCUUCAGGAGACAGACUUGCCCGUCUGUCCUACACGUCGUUCGACAGUAUCAACAUCAGUACCAAGACAGCCCGAGAGAGGGAGAGUCAGCAGCCAGUCAGUGAAGACAUGUGGGACAUCCUACGACGCAGACUCAGGAUGAGACAACUGGAUCAUGCCCCACGAUUUAACCUGGACAUCAUUGGCAAGCAGUUCGCAAAAAUCACAUCAGAUGAGGAGAGAGAGAGGGUCAAGUGGGAGAGAGUUAUUAAACCAUCCAGAGAGGCGUUCCUCGGAAGCAUUCACAGAACCAACAGGGAUACCCCAGUGCAAGCGUCUAAUGGUGGCAGUGGGCGACGUAGUCGGACAGAGAUGGUGCUCGGACCUCAGCCUCAGUUCCUGCAGGGCGCCUAUGGUGAAGAUGUGUCCAGGACAAGGAAGCUAAAUGCACUGACAGAAGACUUGCUUACGUCCUACCUGGCUCGCCAUCUCAAGAAGGACAACAAGGUGAAGGCUCACAACGUGGCCAAGGAAUAUGUGGCAUGUCAGGUACAGAAGACCAAGCAGCUGUGUCACCUGUUAUGGAGUCUGAGACGGACAGAAUCAUCUGGGUAUGACGACGACAUCCUUCCCAACCUGUGUGAAGCAGCGGAUGACGAGGAGUAUGAACUGUUCCAGCUGUACGAGAGACUCUAUCUGAUGCUGUGUGAACUCUGCUUCCCCUCCCCCCCAGGUUUCCAGACCUAUUUCACAGCUCUCGGCUUCCGCUGUCUGCACUUGAGUAUGUGGACCGAGGAGUCUUGUCCCUCACUGGCCAGUUUGUCACACAGCUUCUUGCAGAUGUGCCUGAUUGUGACGAGGAUAAAGAAAAUUCAGAGAUCAAAUACCAGAUCAUUUCCAGAUUGCCAAAGACACUAGCUGAAGAGUGUUUCCGCCUCUGGAACCAUCCCCUGUGUGACCGUUACUUCGCCCAUCAGCAGGUGACGGAGAUACUACUAGAAGGAGCCAAAUUAGCAAAAGGGAAAGAAGACACAAGAGAAGGUCUGUC